This 99-nucleotide transfer RNA is filed under the name Janibacter melonis. RNAcentral's name for it is "tRNA-Ser". Lineage: Bacteria; Bacillati; Actinomycetota; Actinomycetes; Micrococcales; Intrasporangiaceae. The record is from RNAcentral.
GCCCGAGUUUCUGCGGUUCACACGGUUGCCAGACGUGCCAAUCACUCCCUCGCGACUCUCCUAAAGAAGGUGUCGCAAGUUCGAAUCUUGCCGGGGGCA